Molecule: long non-coding RNA, 2180 nt
Filed under: Sorghum bicolor (sorghum)
Lineage: Eukaryota; Viridiplantae; Streptophyta; Magnoliopsida; Poales; Poaceae
Description: long non-coding RNA (SBIC_LNC006041)
Source: RNAcentral
GGGGUAUUUCUCAAUGCAUCUGCAAUCUUGGUCAGGGGAAAUGAUGGCCUAUGUGGCGGUAUCCCUCAAUUGAAAUUGCUACCCUGCUCAAGCCACAGCACCAAGAAGACACAUCAGAAAUUUGCCAUAAUAAUCUCAGUAUGCACUGGAUUUUUUCUUUGCACAUUAGUAUUUGCACUAUACGCAAUCAACCAAAUGAGACGGAAGACAAAGACAAAUCUACAAAGGCCAGUUUUGAGUGAGAAGUAUAUAAGGGUCUCUUAUGCUGAAUUGGUGAAUGCAACAAAUGGAUUUGCACUUGACAAUCUCAUUGGAGAAGGGAGCUUUGGCUCGGUUUACAAAGGAAGAAUGAGAGACGGUGACGAAGAUAAAAUCAUAGCUGUUAAGGUUCUAAACCUCAUGCAACGUGGUGCAUCUCAAAGUUUUGUCGCAGAAUGUGAGACAUUAAGAUGCACUCGACAUCGGAACCUUGUUAAGAUAUUGACAGUAUGCUCAAGUAUUGAUUUUCAGGGCCGUGAUUUCAAGGCCCUAGUGUAUGAGUUUUUACCAAAUGGAAAUUUAGACCAAUGGCUGCACCAACAUAUCAUGCAAGAUGGUGAAGGAAAGGCACUAGAUAUAAUUGAGAGGCUAUGUGUUGCUAUCGACGUAGCAUCAUCACUUGAUUAUCUUCACCAACAUAAGCCGAUGCCAGUCAUUCAUUGUGAUCUUAAGCCAAGCAAUGUCCUCCUUGACAGCGACAUGGUUGCUCAUGUUGGUGACUUUGGGCUUGCAAGGUUUCUGCAUGAAGACUCAGAGAAAUCAAGUGGCUGGGCAUCAAUGAGAGGAUCAAUUGGUUAUGCUGCUCCAGGUGUGCUUCUGUAUUUCUAUUAGUUGUCUACUAAUAUAUUCUGCGAUGUUGGCUUCAAUCAAAAUUUAAGGAUUUGUUGCUGUUUCGCUUCCUUAGAUAUGACAUAAGUAUGGCUCAACAUAUUUUUUUUUUAAGAAUGUAAAAGAACUGAAAUCAGUGAAAUUUCAACAAACUACAGUGCAUACCUAAAUGUAGUGCCUUGGAAAUGAACUUUGUACAAAAAUACUUUAUGAACAGAAAAUUCUUCAGAAGAAACUUUCUGAAACAAGAACUCCUGUUGGUUGGUUUCAGAGUAUGGACUGGGCAACAAAGUGUCGACCUCUGGUGAUGUCUACAGCUAUGGCAUAUUGUUGCUGGAAAUGUUCACAGGAAAAAGACCAACAGCUGGCGAAUUUGGAGAAGCCAUGGUAAUCCGCAAUUAUGUUGAAAUGGCACUGCCAGACAGAGUGAGCAUUAUCAUGGAUCAACAGCUACUAACAGAGACAGAAGGUGGCCAAGCAGGCACCUCAAACUCUAGCAGUAAUAGAGAUAUGAGAAUUGCCUGUACCAUUUCAGUUUUGCAAAUCGGGAUUCGGUGUUCAGAGGAGAGGCCAAUGGACCGCCCACCAAUCGGAGAUGUUCUGAAAGAGCUGCAGACAAUUAGAGACAAGAUUCACAUGCAUCUGUCUGGCGAAGGAGCAACACCAGUCUGCUGAAGGGUUUUGAAGGACCUUCUAGGGGAUGCCAUCUCUUGGAGCUAUCAGUCUGCCAGGUUAACUGUGCACUGCAAUAUGAUAUAUGUGCAAGUACGUGCUAAUGUGCCAUAUAGAUUAGUGUUGUAAGAAGCCUCAAUCCAGUGGAGGCCACUCAAGCUUCACAAGUGUAGCUACGAGCCUACAAUUCUUUGAUAAUCUAUUCAAUAAUUUGCCAUAUAUAUAAGGGGUCAUCCUGUUCCACGUAGAAUUGCAGUUAUGUGAGGAAAAUUAGUUCCUACUAAUGAAUAAAUCUUGUAAAUUGCAACUGUUGCGCGUGUAACAAGUGGUGAUCAUCGAUACGUCUGAUAAGGGAAGCGGAGAGGACAGAGGAGUUUUACCUCCGGCGCGGCUGAGUUCAGGAAGAGGGCAACGCAGGGGCACGGAGAUGGUGCAUUGCAAAAGCAACCCGGGGCUGGAGUCGUCAGCAGCGACGACUGCACUAGGAGGCUCGAGGCUGCACCGCGCUCCCGGCGGAGGAAUCCGAGAGUCGGGCCGGCGAGUCAGACGGGAGGCGGCGGCCGGCGGUUCGAGGCGCUGGCCGUGGCUGGCGUCCCGGCGGGGGACGGCGUGGGACGAGAAGCGGAGCAGCAGAAGCGAGG